UUGAAGGCGUGGAGACUGAAGUCCUCUCUAUAUCCACAGAACAGGUAUGGCACAGGCAGCGGCAGUGCAGCUUUUCCACUGUCCCACCAAUGUGCCUCAGUACUAGCCCAGGGGGACCACGUUUAGGAUAAGAGGGCUGUUCAGUCUCCAUGCCCUUCAAUCCCUGGCUACU
This is an unclassified non-coding RNA of Cebus imitator (Panamanian white-faced capuchin), 172 nucleotides long. The record is from Ensembl. NCBI's taxonomy places the organism in Eukaryota, Metazoa, Chordata, Mammalia, Primates, Cebidae.